Molecule: ribosomal RNA, 608 nt
Filed under: uncultured Spirochaeta sp.
Lineage: Bacteria; Pseudomonadati; Spirochaetota; Spirochaetia; Spirochaetales; Spirochaetaceae
Description: bacterial SSU rRNA
Rfam family: Bacterial small subunit ribosomal RNA
Source: RNAcentral
GAACUGGGCUGCAGUCGACGAUUCCUACGGGAGGCAGCAGCUAAGAAUCUUCCGCAAUGGGCGAAAGCCUGACGGAGCGACGCCGCGUGGACGAAGAAGGCCGGAAGGUUGUAAAGUCCUUUUCCUGGGGGAGAAUAAUGCGGGGAGGGAAUGCCCUGCAGAUGACGUGAACCAGGGAAUAAGCCCCGGCUAAUUACGUGCCAGCAGCCGCGGUAACACGUAAGGGGCGAGCGUUGUUCGGAUUUAUUGGGCGUAAAGGGCGUGUAGGCGGUAGUGCAAGUCUGGUGUGAAAGGCCCCGGCUCAACCGGGGAAGCGCGCUGGAAACUGUGCUGCUAGAGUUUAGGAGGGGAAGCUGGAAUUCCUGGUGUAGGGGUGAAAUCUGUAGAGAUCAGGAAGAACACCGGAGGCGAAGGCGAGCUUCUGGCCAUAGACUGACGCUGAGGCGCGAAAGCGUGGGGAGCAAACAGGAUUAGAUACCCUGGUAGUCCACGCUGUAAACGAUGUGCACUAGGUGUUGGGGGUAUGAACUCUCGGUGCCGGAGCUAACGCGUUAAGUGCACCGCCUGGGGAGUACGCCGGCAACGGUAAAACUCAAAGGAAUUGACGG